UUGAAUUCAUACAAUGCUUCAAGUCUGCACCUUGAGUAUGUGUGUACUUAGCUGUAUGCAAAAUAACAGAUGUAUUUUAAACAUGCUGUGGUUGGGCUUAGCAUUAUCACCGAGAUGCCAAAAUGGGCAGCUAAACAAUUUCAUGUGGAUCUGAUCUUCUGCUCUACGUUGCUUUCAGUUUACUGGUACUUUCUUAAGAAAUGCACUGAUAAAGCUUUCAUAUGACAUAAGCUGAGAGAAUUCCUGUUGUACAUUGGCUUUAAUGAGAUUGCCUGUCAAGAUAAGAAAAGAUAUAAGCCUGUCUAUAUUUGAAGUUAUACCUUGCCACGAUGUCAUGAAUAAUUACCCUAAACAACAUAUUUAGUAAACUAUCGAUCCUGGGAAAGAAUGUUCAUCAUGCCACAGGACACCCUUUCUACUGAACUCCAAGGCCUGCAUUGAUAUAUAUACCCUUGUUUAAAAUGGUGUACCAUUGCUUUCAUGGCAUAUAAAUGUAUACCUUCCCAUUACUCCCCAUUGUUUCUAUGAAAUGUAUAACCCUGCUAUGACAUAUGCAGCAUUUGGAAUUAAUGCUUAUAACUGAUUUUAAUACCCUGCAUUUCUUUUUGGUAAUGUGCGAACAUUCAACACAUGAAUAUAAAAAUGUCUUAAAUAUAUGCAUAAAUAAUACUUUAAAAAUGCAUAUUUAACUGAAAAAUCAUAAAAUAUUAACUGUGGUUCUUAUUACUGAAUUUGUCACUUCAAGGAAAACAUGCAUCUUCCACCUAAUUUUGUGCAUAAUAACAUAUUGCUGGCACUAUGUUUUGUACCAUCUAGUUACCUUACAGACUUACAAAAAUGAAAAGUCUGGAAACCAUG
Long non-coding RNA from Protopterus annectens (West African lungfish), 858 nucleotides. RefSeq lists it as uncharacterized. The transcript has 3 exons. Lineage: Eukaryota; Metazoa; Chordata; Ceratodontiformes; Protopteridae. The record is from RefSeq and is a predicted model, not a curated record.